RNAcentral lists this transfer RNA (71 nucleotides) under Chondria tumulosa. RNAcentral's name for it is "tRNA-Cys". It matches the Rfam family "tRNA". From Rfam's summary of the family: Transfer RNA (tRNA) molecules are approximately 80 nucleotides in length. Their secondary structure includes four short double-helical elements and three loops (D, anti-codon, and T loops). The record is from RNAcentral. Lineage: Eukaryota; Rhodophyta; Florideophyceae; Ceramiales; Rhodomelaceae.
GGCGGUAUAGCCAAGUGGUAAGGCAGAGGAUUGCAAAUUCUUUAUCCCCAGUUCGAAUCCGGGUACCGCCU